Molecule: long non-coding RNA, 461 nt
Organism: Pseudophryne corroboree (corroboree frog)
Lineage: Eukaryota; Metazoa; Chordata; Amphibia; Anura; Myobatrachidae
Exons: 4
Source: RefSeq, a predicted model, not a curated record
GCCUACUCCUGCUGUGUCCGGAAGGCUUAGUGACUGACUGGGGGAAACGGGGGAGAGUGGAAGGGCAGAGGAGAACAGGCUAUUCUGUGCCUAACUUGAUUGCAGAUGAAGAGACAGAUUGGAUUGGGAAGUUCAAUAAACAUUUAUAAACAUGAUAUGAUUAGAUUUAAAAUUGAGAAAUUUCAGGAAGUGGAGAUGGACUACGAAAAUCAUCAGCUGUACCAGUGGCUUACAGCAUUUGGCAACCAAAAAAAGACGCCACUGAUGAGUGAGACACCGCUGCACCUCGCUGAACUGAGAAUCUCACACACACUUGUCAGUUGUGGAUGUCUAAUUCUCUAAUAUUACUUUGCACAUGGUUGGGGGAUUUCCAGGUUGGAAAGUGUGCGACUAAGUAUAAUGUAACGUAUGAGAUCAGGCGUUACUCUAACAGGAGGAAGAGAGAGAGGUGACAAGACGCU